This 72-nucleotide transfer RNA is filed under the name Karlodinium veneficum. Its description in RNAcentral is "tRNA-Gln". It matches the Rfam family "tRNA". From Rfam's summary of the family: Transfer RNA (tRNA) molecules are approximately 80 nucleotides in length. Their secondary structure includes four short double-helical elements and three loops (D, anti-codon, and T loops). Further hydrogen bonds mediate the characteristic L-shaped molecular structure. tRNAs have two regions of fundamental functional importance: the anti-codon, which is responsible for specific mRNA codon recognition, and the 3' end, to which the tRNAs corresponding amino acid is attached (by aminoacyl-tRNA synthetases). tRNAs cope with the degeneracy of the genetic code in two manners: having more than one tRNA (with a specific anti-codon) for a particular amino acid; and 'wobble' base-pairing, i.e. permitting non-standard base-pairing at the 3rd anti-codon position. The record is from RNAcentral. Lineage: Eukaryota; Dinophyceae; Gymnodiniales; Kareniaceae.
UGGGGUGUAGCCAAGUGGAAAGGCAACGGACUUUGACUCCGAUAUUCGUAGGUUCGAUUCCUACCACUCCAG